RNAcentral lists this ribosomal RNA (486 nucleotides) under uncultured bacterium. RNAcentral's name for it is "partial 16S ribosomal RNA". It matches the Rfam family "Bacterial small subunit ribosomal RNA", at positions 30 to 507 of the family's 1533-position model. The record is from RNAcentral.
AUUGAACGCUGGCGACAUGCCUUACACAUGCAAGUCGAACGGCAGCACGGGUGCUUGCACCUGGUGGCGAGUGGCGAACGGGUGAGUAAUACAUCGGAACAUGUCCUGUAGUGGGGGAUAGCCCGGCGAAAGCCGGAUUAAUACCGCAUACGAUCUACGGAUGAAAGCGGGGGACCUUCGGUCCUCGCGCUAUAGGGUUGGCCGAUGGCUGAUUAGCUAGUUGGUGGGGUAAAGGCCUACCAAGGCGACGAUCAGUAGCUGGUCUGAGAGGACGACCAGUCACACUGGGACUGAGACACGGCCCAGACUCCUACGGGAGGCAGCAGUGGGGAAUUUUGGACAAUGGGCGAAAGCCUGAUCCAGCAAUGCCGCGUGUGUGAAGAAGGCCUUCGGGUUGUAAAGCACUUUUGUCCGGAAAGAAAUCCUUGGCCCUAAUACGGUCGGGGGAUGACGGUACCGGAAGAAUAAGCACCGGCUAACUACGUG